AUUGAACGCUGGCGGCAGGCCUAACACAUGCAAGUCGAGCGGAUGAAGGGAGUUUGCUCCUGGAUUCAGCGGCGGACGGGUGAGUAAUGCCUAGGAAUCUGCCUGGUAGUGGGGGAUAACGUCCGGAAACGGGCGCUAAUACCGCAUACGUCCUGAGGGAGAAAGUGGGGGAUCUUCGGACCUCACGCUAUCAGAUGAGCCUAGGUCGGAUUAGCUAGUUGGUUGGGUAAAGGCCUACCAAGGCGACGAUCCGGAACUGGUCUGAGAGGAUGAUCAGUCACACUGGAACUGAGACACGGUCCAGACUCCUACGAGAGGCAGCAGUGGGGAAUAUUGGACAAUGGGCGAAAGCCUGAUCCAGCCAUGCCGCGUGUGUGAAGAAGGUCUUCGGAUUGUAAAGCACUUUAAGUUGGGAGGAAGGGCAGUAAGUUAAUACCUUGCUGUUUUGACGUUACCAACAGAAUAAGCACCGGCUAACUUCGUG
This 484-nucleotide ribosomal RNA is filed under the name uncultured bacterium. RNAcentral describes it as "partial 16S ribosomal RNA". It matches the Rfam family "Bacterial small subunit ribosomal RNA", at positions 30 to 507 of the family's 1533-position model. The record is from RNAcentral.